AACGCAUAUUGCGCUCUCUGGCCCUCCAGGGAGCAUGCCUGUUUGAGUAUCAGUUUAAAUCUCACACCCCCUUGGGGGUGUGGAUAUGAGUGCUCCGAACGCACGCGUUGACGGUAGCUUAUCGUCAACCGCGCAAGCAUUCGGUCGCUUAAAAUAUAGCGCGUGCUGUGUUCGUCACUGCUCUUCGGCUUAGGCGUACCAGUUCUCCCGAGGAGAUCCACCAUACGCCGGUGAUGAGUCGAUGAGCCUUUGUGUUGGCUGACGGCCGCGCCCAUUCAAUGAUCGCUGGCGCCAUGCAGUAUGCAUUGUCGCUUGUCCUUGAUCUCAAAUCAGGCAAGAUUACCCGCUGAAUUUAA
This 356-nucleotide unclassified non-coding RNA is filed under the name uncultured fungus. Its description in RNAcentral is "partial contains 5.8S ribosomal RNA, internal transcribed spacer 2, and large subunit ribosomal RNA". Lineage: Eukaryota; Fungi. The record is from RNAcentral.